AGAGGUUUGAUCACUGGCUCAGAACGAACGCUGGCGGCGUGCUUAAGACAUGCAAGUCGAACGAGAAAGCACCUUCGGGUGUGAGUAGAGUGGCGCACGGGUGAGUAACGCGUGGAUAAUCUACCUUCUCGUCUGGGAUAACUCCUGGAAACGGGUGCUAAUACCGGAUAAGCCCACGGGUCUGCGGAUCUGUGGGAAAAGGUGGCCUCUCCUUGGAAGCUACUGCGAGUUGAUGAGUCUGCGUUCCAUUAGCUAGUUGGUGGGGUAACGGCCUACCAAGGCGUCGAUGGAUAGCUGGUCUGAGAGGAUGAUCAGCCACACUGGAACUGAGACUACGGUCCAGACUCCUACGGGAGGCAGCAGUCGGGAAUCUUUGGGCAAUGGGCGAAAGCCUGACCCAG
This 401-nucleotide ribosomal RNA is filed under the name uncultured bacterium. RNAcentral describes it as "bacterial SSU rRNA". It matches the Rfam family "Bacterial small subunit ribosomal RNA", at positions 1 to 391 of the family's 1533-position model. The record is from RNAcentral.